This 452-nucleotide ribosomal RNA is filed under the name Salmonella enterica. Its description in RNAcentral is "partial 23S ribosomal RNA". It matches the Rfam family "Bacterial large subunit ribosomal RNA", at positions 2202 to 2653 of the family's 2925-position model. The record is from RNAcentral. Lineage: Bacteria; Pseudomonadati; Pseudomonadota; Gammaproteobacteria; Enterobacterales; Enterobacteriaceae.
ACCCUUUAAUGUUUGAUGUUCUAACGUGGACCCGUGAUCCGGGUUGCGGACAGUGUCUGGUGGGUAGUUUGACUGGGGCGGUCUCCUCCUAAAGAGUAACGGAGGAGCACGAAGGUUGGCUAAUCCUGGUCGGACAUCAGGAGGUUAGUGCAAUGGCAUAAGCCAGCUUGACUGCGAGCGUGACGGCGCGAGCAGGUGCGAAAGCAGGUCAUAGUGAUCCGGUGGUUCUGAAUGGAAGGGCCAUCGCUCAACGGAUAAAAGGUACUCCGGGGAUAACAGGCUGAUACCGCCCAAGAGUUCAUAUCGACGGCGGUGUUUGGCACCUCGAUGUCGGCUCAUCACAUCCUGGGGCUGAAGUAGGUCCCAAGGGUAUGGCUGUUCGCCAUUUAAAGUGGUACGCGAGCUGGGUUUAGAACGUCGUGAGACAGUUCGGUCCCUAUCUGCCGUGGGCG